UUGGUAGAAGCGUGGUAUGUCUGUCGAGUCGUUUGUGAUUACCAUCUUACAAAAUUGUUCGUGGGAGUCAAUAAAAUUGCUAGUUAAUAUCUUAAAAAGUGUCGUAAGAUCAACGUGAUGGUUAAAAGCAGCCAAUGGCUUUGACCGUUUAAAGGAAAAGUAAAAAACAGCCAUCUUGACAUGAAUAACAGCGAAGACGAAUUAGGAAGCUACAUUCAACACUUAAGAAAUCGGAAUUUUAUAAUGGUGUAAUUAACAUAGUUUUGUGUAUUCGAAUUGUGAAGAAUGUGAAGAUUCGAAAAACUCAAUGAAAAGGACCAGCACACAAAACAAAGAAUUGAAUUAACAUUCUAAAUUGCUGUGAAAAAAGCAUGAACUUUUAGAACUCUGGAUGCAGUUGAGAAUAAAGUUUAUUCUUAAAUAAAAUAUGUGGAAAAAGUUGUUGUUUAGCUACCGAAAUAUACAUUGCUAAAAUAAAAAAUACGUUCGUUUUAUUAACUGCUUU
Long non-coding RNA from Dendroctonus ponderosae (mountain pine beetle), 505 nucleotides. RefSeq lists it as uncharacterized. The transcript has 3 exons. Lineage: Eukaryota; Metazoa; Arthropoda; Insecta; Coleoptera; Curculionidae. The record is from RefSeq and is a predicted model, not a curated record.